GGGGCUGAUUCUGGAUUCGACGGGAUUGGCAAAGCCCAAAGCGCACGUCAAGGUGCGGUAGGCCUUGUAAAUAAACCGCAAAACAAUAGUCGCAAACGACGAACAAUACGCACUAGCAGCUUAAUAACCUGCGUAGAGCCUUAUCGCCUCAGCUUUCGCUCGUAAGACGAGGAUCACGAUAAGUCAUCCAAAACGAGAUCGUGUGGACGCCGCCGUUUGAGGAUCGAAGCAUUAAAUUGAACCAAACUAGCUUAAUUAUCGUGUGUCUUUCCACAGGGUUAAGUGAAAUUAAAGAAAGACUAAACGUGUAGUGCUGAAGGUAGAGUAAUUUCGGACGCGGGUUCAACUCCCGCCAGCUCCACCA
This 364-nucleotide transfer-messenger RNA is filed under the name Pasteurellaceae bacterium. It matches the Rfam family "transfer-messenger RNA". From Rfam's summary of the family: Bacterial tmRNA, also known as 10Sa RNA or SsrA, is named for its dual tRNA and mRNA-like properties. Its role is to liberate the mRNA from a stalled ribosome. Lineage: Bacteria; Pseudomonadati; Pseudomonadota; Gammaproteobacteria; Pasteurellales; Pasteurellaceae. The record is from RNAcentral.